UACGGGGGGGGCAAGCGUUGUUCGGAAUUACUGGGCGUAAAGGGCUCGUAGGUGGCCAACUAAGUCAGACGUGAAAUCCCCAGGCUCAACUUGGGAACUGCGUCUGAUACUGGAAGGCUUGAAUCCGGGAGAGGGAUGCGGAAUUCCAGGUGUAGCGGUGAAAUGCGUAGAUAUCUGGAGGAACACCGGUGGCGAAGGCGGCAUCCUGGACCGGUAUUGACGCUGAGGCGCGAAAGCCAGGGGAGCAAACGGG
Molecule: ribosomal RNA, 253 nt
Filed under: uncultured bacterium
Lineage: Bacteria
Description: partial 16S ribosomal RNA
Rfam family: Bacterial small subunit ribosomal RNA
Source: RNAcentral